AAAUUUUGGUAAGAAUUGAGAGUUAAUGACGAUGAUUUUGAUCUGAAUCUGUUCUGUCUCUUUGCUCUUUCGAUCGAUAUCGCUUUGUUCUGAGCUGAAGAAGUGAUAGAGUUCUACCAUGGAGGCCAUCAGGAAGCAAGCAAGCAAGCUCAGAGAACAAGUCGCAAAACAGCAGCUGGCCGUUCUGAAGCAAUUGGGACACCCAGUUAAUGAAGCUGUUAUACCUGAUGAAGCGGAAAUUCAGUGCCACCAAAAACUUCAGAAUCUAUAUAAUUCUACCAGAUCAGCUAAGCACUUCCAGAAAGAUAUUGUUAGGGGUGUUGAAGGUUUUAUUACAACUAGUUCAAAGCAAAUGGAAAUAGUGAGAAAAUUGGCCGAAGAUUGUUGCAGAUAUGGAAAUGAGAAUCAGGGAUCUGAUUCUUCUCUUGCUAGGGCCUCUUGUAAGUUUGGUAUUUCACACAGUUCAAUGGAGAAAGAGAGAGAGAAUUUGCUUAGAGUUCUUGGUGAUCAGAUUUCUGAGCCACUACGGGCAUUAGUAACAGGAGCUCCACUGGAGGAUGCUCGGCACCUAACUCAUCGUUUUGAAAAAAUCCGCCAAGAGGUGGAAGCUCAGGCGGCUGAAGUUUUAAGGCGGCAGUCAAAGUUAAAGGAAGCUGGAGUUCCUCCUGAGAGUGAUGCAAAGUUUCAAAAUGCAGAAGCAAAAUUGUCUGAGCUUAAAUCUGCUAUGAUGGCACUGGGGAGAGAAGCAACAGCAGCAAUGUCAUCAGUUGAGGCGCAACAGCAGCGAAUCACUUUGCAAAAACUUUUUACAAUGGUAGAUGCCGAGAGAUCUUUCCACAAGAGUGUUUCUGCAAUUCUAGAGAAACUCUAUGCUGAGAUGGUUCUGGAGAAGCAGCACAGUGAAUCUAUAUUUCCGCCACCUAGUUCAGUAACAGAUGUGGAUUUUCCACUUCCACAUUCAGAUACUAUUACCAACAGAUCUGGUGAUGUACCUUCAGCUGAAAAAGAGACAUAUUUUGUUGCAGAACUCUCAACUGUUCUUCAUGUAGGUAAUACACCCAUUUGAUGCCCAAGCAGAUGGGGAGUUAAGUCUCUUUGUUGGUGACUAUGUUGUGGUUCGCCAGGUAGCUCCUAAUGGCUGGUCUGAAGGUGAGAAUGAGGGCAAGGCUGGAUGGUUUCCCUCUGCUUAUAUUUGUAGACGAGAUAAAUCUCCAACAAGCAUGGUAAUUGAAUAAACAUAGCCAUCCUGGUGCCAAACCUCCCCACUUAAUUAUAUUGUAUAUGCAUUCCCAUGUGCUGUUCCUUUUGUAUCUACCACAUUGUAACAAGUAUACUUCUUGGUACGUUGUAAAUAAACCUCAAGCUUUUUGUAGAUACAUGAUAAUGGUGUGAAAGAUUGCCUUGUAAGUCUUGAUGUGUUCUUAUGUGUUAAGAGGGUCUAUAUCCUUUACUUCUAUUUUUGUUAACAAAUGAUUAUUAUGUGAUUGUAGCAGAAG
This is an RNA transcript of Telopea speciosissima, 1496 nucleotides long. It is a transcript of the gene named SH3 domain-containing protein 1-like, with no coding region annotated. Lineage: Eukaryota; Viridiplantae; Streptophyta; Magnoliopsida; Proteales; Proteaceae. The transcript has 10 exons. The record is from RefSeq and is a predicted model, not a curated record.